AUGCUUGCUUCGGCAGCACAUUUACUAAAAUUGGAAUAAUAUAGAGAGAUUAGGGUGGCCCCUGUACAAGAAUGACAUGCAAAUUCACAAAGUGCUCCAUGGUCUA
Nannospalax galili (Upper Galilee mountains blind mole rat) is the source of this 106-nucleotide small nuclear RNA. Lineage: Eukaryota; Metazoa; Chordata; Mammalia; Rodentia; Spalacidae. The record is from Ensembl.